UAAUGUGCGAAAAGUAAUGCGAAUUGCAUGCUCUGCGAGUCAUCUAGUCUUUGAACGCAAAUGGCACUGUCAUGUCAAGUGAUAGUAUGCCCGUUUGAGAACCACAUAAACAAUCACCAUCAGUUGAUGGUGGAUCUGCGGGUAGUGUGCGUGCGUGCACUCUUGCUAAAUGCAUGUACCUGAUGUUGUGCACUGCAGCAAUGUGAUAGUCAUUCAUUGCGGGUGGCGGCUAUCCCAGGUAUCAUCAUAUCACCAUCGUGGUCUGGUCAUGAUGGUCUCUCAUUCGUGUAUCACAUGCGUGUGUGAUCGUCAUCGUCAUAUGCCAUCAUCAUGGUCUCAAAUCGGGCAAGGCUACCCGCUGAACUUAA
This 368-nucleotide unclassified non-coding RNA is filed under the name uncultured fungus. RNAcentral describes it as "sequence contains ITS1". The stretch from base 1 to 104 matches the Rfam family "5.8S ribosomal RNA", at positions 49 to 154 of the family's 154-position model. Lineage: Eukaryota; Fungi. The record is from RNAcentral.